Procambarus clarkii (red swamp crayfish) is the source of this 1062-nucleotide long non-coding RNA. RefSeq lists it as uncharacterized. The record is from RefSeq and is a predicted model, not a curated record. NCBI's taxonomy places the organism in Eukaryota, Metazoa, Arthropoda, Malacostraca, Decapoda, Cambaridae.
UUCAUCAAGGGACUGUGUACAACAUAGCACUUAUAUUCCACAUUUCUUUCAUCAAGGGACUGUGUACAACAUAGCACUUAUAUUCCACAUUUCUUUCAUCAAGGGACUGUGUACAACAUAGCACUAAAAUGGAACCAAUCAGGGUGGAGACAAAGCAACUCGGUGUGCCCUCAGCCUCCCCGCGCGCGGGUGUGGGCUCACCAGAGCACGUGUGAUCAUCACCGGGAGAAGACGUGGUUCCACGUGCUCCACUAAAUGUCGCGACACGUGGCUCUCAUCCUGUAACUACACUCAGGAAAUUUGUGGAGAAGUCUUGCAAGGCUCAAUAUCUUUAUUUGAAGAGAAUCUACACCAAGAACAUAUUCUGUCCUGAAGUGAAAGCUUGGAAGAUGUGCUGGAAGUACAAGACAACAUUAUAACAAGUUUUAAUAACCUCAGAGGGAAACUCCCUCGUCAAGGUGCCUUGGAGGAUUCUCUUCCUCAAGAAAAGACUUCCUUCAUGCUACAAGGGGUUCAACUCUACACCCCUCUUCCUGGUUAACCUAGGGGGUUGUCACCUUUCGGCUAAUCAAGCUUCAACGUUGCUUCCCUCUACAGUUGAAGCUACAGGACUCCUCUUCAUCCAAACGAGGGCUCAUUACCAUCCAGGCUACCCUCAUGAUUUUCAUCCCAUCUGCAACCCUGAGAGGGGAGGGCUCCUAUUCCUUUUAGGCUUGUCUGCAUUUUUUCCCCUUUGGCUAGCCUCUAUGGGCUUGAUGGGCUCCUUUCUCCAUCCUUGGCUAGCCUUGGGAGUUCCGAUUCUCAGCUGGCUAGUCAUGGGGAACUGCUCUCCUGGCUGUGCUAGGAAUUCAUCUGCAUUUGUCAGCUAUGCUGGGGUGAGGAGGUAGACUCCUUUUCCUUCAGCAAACCUUGUGAGCUCUAGGGGUUACACAUCCCAAAUGGCUAGCCUUGUGGGGGGUUUCUCUUGCCCCCUGAAAUUACUAUGGUAGCAAUGGCUGACUCUUCUCUACGCUCAUACAGCCUUACAAUUUUUGGAGUAGCCCAAACUCUUUGGCUGUAGCC